UUAUUGUGUCUUCAUCAUGGAUCAUCCAUGG
RNAcentral lists this non-coding RNA (31 nucleotides) under Rattus norvegicus (Norway rat). Lineage: Eukaryota; Metazoa; Chordata; Mammalia; Rodentia; Muridae. The record is from RNAcentral.